AACAUCGCGCACCUGCGGGAACCUGCGGAAGGAUCAUUAAUGAUUGGUGGCUGUUGCUGACUAGUGUUUCUAGUAUGUGCACGCCACACCUUCAAUCCCACUUACACCUGUGCACCUUCUGUAAUAGAUCUAUGUGGAUACGGAGAUAUGAAAGUUUGCGCUCUCGUGCUCUGUUGAAGCAGUCUACUACGUUUUUUUACACACACACAAUAGUCAUUGAAUGUAUUUUUUAUUCUUAUG
This 240-nucleotide unclassified non-coding RNA is filed under the name soil metagenome. RNAcentral describes it as "partial contains 5.8S ribosomal RNA, internal transcribed spacer 2, and large subunit ribosomal RNA". The record is from RNAcentral.